RNAcentral lists this ribosomal RNA (253 nucleotides) under uncultured bacterium. RNAcentral's name for it is "partial 16S ribosomal RNA". It matches the Rfam family "Bacterial small subunit ribosomal RNA", at positions 524 to 776 of the family's 1533-position model. The record is from RNAcentral.
UACGUAGGCAGCGAGCGUUGUUCGGAGUUACUGGGCGUAAAGAGUGCGUAGGCGGUUUUCUAAGUUUGGUGUGAAAUCUCCCGGCUCAACUGGGAGGGUGCGCCGAAGACUGGAAGGCUUGAGUAUGGGAGAGGUAAGCGGAAUUCCUGGUGUAGCGGUGAAAUGCGUAGAUAUCAGGAGGAACACCUGCGGUGUAGACGGCUUACUGGACCAUGACUGACACUCAGGGACGAAAGCUAGGGGAGCGAAUGGG